Molecule: ribosomal RNA, 589 nt
Filed under: uncultured bacterium
Lineage: Bacteria
Description: bacterial SSU rRNA
Rfam family: Bacterial small subunit ribosomal RNA
Source: RNAcentral
CCCUUAGAGUUUGAUCCUGGCUCAGAGCGAACGUUAGCGGCGGGCCUAACACAUGCAAGUCGAACGAGAAUGAGGGCUUCGGCCCUCUAGUAGAGUGGCGGACGGGUGCGUAACACGUGGGUAAUCUACCUUCCGGCGGGGGACAACAGUCCGAAAGGAUUGCUAAUACCGCGUACGUCAGCGAGGUCUACGGACCUUGUUGGGAAAGAUGGCCUCUCCUUGGAAGCUGUCACCGGAAGAUGAGCCCGCGGCCCAUCAGCUAGUUGGUGAGGUAAUGGCUCACCAAGGCUUAGACGGGUAGCUGGUCUGAGAGGAUGAUCAGCCACACUGGGACUGCGACACGGCCCAGACUCCUACGGGAGGCAGCAGUGGGGAAUAUUGGGCAAUGGGCGGAAGCCUGACCCAGCCACGCCGCGUGAAUGAUGAAGGCCUUCGGGUCGUAAAGCUCUGUGGGGAGGGACGAAUAAGUCGGCAGUUAACACCUGCCGGCCCUGACGGUACCUCCUUAGCAAGCACCGGCUAACCAUGUGCCAGCAGCCGCGGUAAUACAUGGGGUGCAAACGUUGCUCGGAAUUAUUGGGCGUAAAGC